This 68-nucleotide transfer RNA is filed under the name Linckia laevigata. Its description in RNAcentral is "tRNA-Glu". It matches the Rfam family "tRNA". From Rfam's summary of the family: Transfer RNA (tRNA) molecules are approximately 80 nucleotides in length. Their secondary structure includes four short double-helical elements and three loops (D, anti-codon, and T loops). The record is from RNAcentral. Lineage: Eukaryota; Metazoa; Echinodermata; Asteroidea; Valvatida; Ophidiasteridae.
AUUUUUGUAGUUGAAAACAACUUCAGCUUUUCACGCUGACGGUCUGGGUUAAAAUCCCAGCAAGAAUU